This 305-nucleotide ribosomal RNA is filed under the name uncultured bacterium. Its description in RNAcentral is "bacterial SSU rRNA". It matches the Rfam family "Bacterial small subunit ribosomal RNA", at positions 336 to 657 of the family's 1533-position model. The record is from RNAcentral.
CUCCUACGGGGCGCAGCAGUCGGGAAUAUUGCGCAAUGGAGGAAACUCUGACGCAGUGACGCCGCGUGCAGGAAGAAGGUUUUCGGAUUGUAAACUGCUUUAGACAGGGAAGAAAAAAGACAGUACCUGUAGAAUAAGCUCCGGCUAACUACGUGCCAGCAGCCGCGGUAAUACGUAGGGAGCAAGCGUUAUCCGGAUUUAUUGGGUGUAAAGGGUGCGUAGACGGGAAAACAAGUUAGUUGUGAAAUCCCUCAGCUUAACUGAGGAACUGCAACUAAAACUAUUUUUCUUGAGUGCUGGAGAGG